Molecule: ribosomal RNA, 492 nt
Filed under: uncultured bacterium
Lineage: Bacteria
Description: partial 16S ribosomal RNA
Rfam family: Bacterial small subunit ribosomal RNA
Source: RNAcentral
AGUGAACGCUGGCGGUAGGCCUAACACAUGCAAGUCGAACGGCAGCACAGUAAGAGCUUGCUCUUACGGGUGGCGAGUGGCGGACGGGUGAGGAAUACAUCGGAAUCUACUUUUUCGUGGGGGAUAACGUAGGGAAACUUACGCUAAUACCGCAUACGACCUACGGGUGAAAGCAGGGGAUCUUCGGACCUUGCGCGAUUGAAUGAGCCGAUGUCGGAUUAGCUAGUUGGCGGGGUAAAGGCCCACCAAGGCGACGAUCCGUAGCUGGUCUGAGAGGAUGAGCAGCCACACUGGAGCUGAGACACGGUCCAGACUCCUACGGGAGGCAGCAGUGGGGAAUAUUGGACAAUGGGCGCAAGCCUGAUCCAGCCAUACCGCGUGGGUGAAGAAGGCCUUCGGGUUGUAAAGCCCUUUUGUUGGGAAGGAAAAGCAGCAGGUUAAUACCCCGCUGUUCUGACGGUACCCAAAGAAUAAGCACCGGCUAACUUCGUG